This 1299-nucleotide unclassified non-coding RNA is filed under the name Hevea brasiliensis (rubber tree). Lineage: Eukaryota; Viridiplantae; Streptophyta; Magnoliopsida; Malpighiales; Euphorbiaceae. The record is from RNAcentral.
CCUAGAUCACUUUCCAGUGCCCCACUCAUGGAGUUUCAGGAUGAACUCCAAGAACCCAUUUUACAGUCACCGCCUCCUGAUCCGCCUGCCCAUUCUGAACUCGACUCCAGGCUUGAAAAGGUGCUGAACGAUGACAAGUUGCCGUACUUCAACCGCCUCCGGUUGGCUUCUUGGAUUGAACUUAAGCUACUCUUCCGGUUGGCUGCACCGGCAGUUUUCGUUUACAUGAUCAACAAUCUCAUGUCCUUGUCCACCAGAGCCUUCGCCGGCCACCUUGGCAAUCUUGAGCUUGCCGCUGCCUCUCUUGGCAAUAGCGGCAUCCAACUUUUUGCUUAUGGCCUGAUGUUGGGGAUGGGAAGUGCAGUGGAAACUCUCUGUGGCCAAGCUUAUGGGGCUCAUAAGUAUGAAAUGCUAGGCACAUACCUUCAAAGAGCAACGGUUGUGUUAACUCUAACUGGGAUACCAAUGACUGUGAUCUACCUUUUAUCAAAGCCAAUCUUGCUCUUACUGGGAGAGCCAACCAAGGUGGCAUCAGCAGCUGCAGUGUUUGUUUAUGGUCUAAUACCUCAAAUUUUUGCUUAUGCAGUGAAUUUUCCAAUACAAAAAUUCCUCCAAGCACAAAGCAUAGUGAACCCAAGUGCCAUUAUAUCAGCAAUUACACUUGUGCUGCACUUAUUGCUCAGCUGGCUCGCAAUUUACCAGCUGGGGAUGGGAUUGAUAGGAGCUUCGCUGGUGUUAAGCUUGUCAUGGUGGAUCAUAGUUGGUGCCCAGUUUAUUUAUAUAUUGAAAAGUAGUCGGUGUAAGCAGACAUGGAAUGGUUUUACCUUGCAGGCCUUUUCUGGGCUUUGGGAGUUUGUGAAGUUGUCAAUAGCUUCAGCAGUAAUGCUGUGCUUGGAGACUUGGUACUUUCAGAUAUUGGUGUUGAUUGCUGGGCUUCUCAAGGAUCCUGAGAUUGCCUUGGAUUCACUUGCUGUAUGUAUGGCUGUAAGUGGGUUGCUGUUCAUGGUUUCAGUGGGAUUCAAUGCAGCUGCAAGCGUCAGAGUCAGCAAUGAAUUAGGAGCAGGGAAUCCCAAGUCAGCAGAAUUCUCAGUUUUGAUGGUGAAUUUGGUUUCUUUACUAAUCGCACUUGUAGAAGCUAUCAUUGUGCUUGCACUUCGCAAUGUAAUUAGCUAUGCUUUCACUAGUGGAGAAACUGUAGCCAUCGCUGUCUCAGAACUUUGUCCAUUUUUGGCCGUCACCCUUGUACUUAAUGGGAUUCAACCAGUGCUGUCCGGGGUUGCUGUUGGAUGUGGAUGGCAA